GUGUAGCUCUGUGGUAAAGUGCAUGCUUGACAUGCAUUGAGGCCCUGGGUUCAAUUCCCAGCAC
Molecule: transfer RNA, 64 nt
Filed under: Ictidomys tridecemlineatus (thirteen-lined ground squirrel)
Lineage: Eukaryota; Metazoa; Chordata; Mammalia; Rodentia; Sciuridae
Description: Spermophilus tridecemlineatus (thirteen-lined ground squirrel) tRNA
Rfam family: tRNA
About the family: Transfer RNA (tRNA) molecules are approximately 80 nucleotides in length. Their secondary structure includes four short double-helical elements and three loops (D, anti-codon, and T loops).
Source: Rfam by way of RNAcentral